RNAcentral lists this ribosomal RNA (447 nucleotides) under uncultured bacterium. RNAcentral describes it as "bacterial SSU rRNA". It matches the Rfam family "Bacterial small subunit ribosomal RNA", at positions 355 to 825 of the family's 1533-position model. The record is from RNAcentral.
UGGGGAAUCUUGGACAAUGGGCGCAGGCCUGAUCCAGCCAUGCCGCGUGAGUGAAGAAGGCCUUCGGGUUGUAAAGCUCUUUUACCAGGGACGAUAAUGACGGUACCUGGAGAAUAAGCCCCGGCAAACUUCGUGCCAGCAGCCGCGGUAAUACGAACUGUGCGAACGUUACUCGGAAUCACUGGGCUUACAGGGUGCGUAGGUGGCUUGAUAAGCAGGGUGUGAAAUCCCUCGGCUCAACCGAGGAACUGCGCUCUGAACUGUCGAGCUAGAGUAUGCUAGAGGUGAAUGGAACAUCCAGUGGAGCGGUGAAAUGCGUAGAUAUCUACUGGAAUGCCGAUGGGGAAGCCGUCCGGCUGGGCCUGUCCUGACGCUGAGGCACGAAAGCGUGGGGAGCAAACAGGAUUAGAUACCCAGGUAGUCCCUGAGCGGGCUGGCAAGGCGCAU